Long non-coding RNA from Betta splendens (Siamese fighting fish), 1996 nucleotides. RefSeq lists it as uncharacterized. The transcript is spliced from 6 exons. The record is from RefSeq and is a predicted model, not a curated record. Lineage: Eukaryota; Metazoa; Chordata; Actinopteri; Anabantiformes; Osphronemidae.
ACGCAGCAGGUCGCGCGCCGGGCUGAAGCCCCACCAGGUGACGCAGCCCGCGCCCUCGGACGCCCGUCCAGCACUCAUCCUGCCAUACAAUGUGACCGGAAGAAGACAAACCGAGCAGUGGCCGCGUUCUCGCUGCAUCAACCUCUUCUUCUGGCAUCAAGGUGUGCCACUGGGCUACUGGACGUCUAGGAUUGGCCAGCAUGUCUGACCAGUGGCGCAGCCCGACUCCUGUAGCUCCAUAACCCAUGAAGGUCUUUCCAAUGGGGUCAUUGCUCCCAAGUUUAUCAUAAUCAAACACUGUGAUGACCACCUGCACUUUCUGAAAGAAGACAGGAAAAGCUCUGAGCAAGGCAUUCCCCUCGUCAACACUUGCUACCCGCUACAUUUCAAACUACCUACCUGUAUCUGCUCAAAUGGGACGUCAAAGCUAAAGCUCUCAUUAAAGUAGGGAUUUAGAGUGUUUUUCUUCACCGUUGUCUUUUUCUUCUUGAUCCGUUUCCCAUUUUGCUGAAGAACAAUCUUCACAUAUGGAUCUUACACAAAUGGAAAGGGAGAGUUAACAAUUACACCUCAUUAACGUCUUCAAUUGGCCGAUGAAACAACAAUAUGAAAACGUGAUGGAAGAUUGAUUACCUGAUAAGCCACCAACGUCCAUUUUCUUCAAAUUCUUUGCCUCCAUGAUGUUCACUGUCAGUUUGCCAGCAGUAGGAACAUAUCGUAAAGAAAUGCAAACAUCUCCAAGUUUUUCCUGCUAAACAGACGUCUCUCCACUGUUGCAUUGGCUGGCCCAGAUCCACACUGUUCAUGGGAAUUCUUAUCUCACCAAUUAUAUCAUGCUUGGAGAAACGAUCAAAAUCAAAAACUUCCAGCACCAAAGUCUUUCCACCCAACUCUGCAUAUGGAAUCUAGAAAUAGAGAUACUUUGACAUAGGGGUCUGAGGUUCCUCCCAUGUCCAUAGCAGCGAGGUCCUGAGCUUGAAGGAUGCCCACUAUGAGCUUCAGAAAAAUAAGAACAAGUGACCUACCUGGGAUUCUGUGAAGUUGUAAUCCAGAGAAUAUUCCAGCCUACCCAGCUUUUCCUGCUCCUUCUCCUCUUCCACCCCUUGCUUCUUAACCUCCCCCUCCUACAAGAUGAAAACAUCCAUGCAAUAGAUAUUCAUCUAAAUCAGAAGAUGAAACAUGCCACCAAAACAAGGACAACCACUACAAUGGCUCCUACUGCCCACAUGGGAACUGUAAAAUGAAAAGUAGAUUAUUUGAACAGUUUUUACUUUCAAAAUGGAGUGGAACUCUUUUUCCAUUUACAUGUAUCAACAACAACAAAACCCUUCUGAAGACACUGUCCUUUCAAGAGGAUUUAAGUCUCUCACAUGAUCUGAUUACAUCAAAGAAAAUCCACUUGGAUUCCCUUAAUCUGUCAGUUCCAACAGUAUUGUUGCACAGACACUGCUUUUCCAAAGCUUGGAUAUGUAGUGUAACUGGAAUAACAGUAAGUAUUAUAAAAAUGUAAUAUUUUUCUGUUGACAAUAAAAUAUAUUUCUUUCACAUAGAGCUGAGUAUUUCUACCUUAUUAUUAAACCCUGAACAUAUUUAUCUGGGGAUAGUUUGCUGAGCAUGUGUGUUGACAGCAACACCCUUUUUCACAUAUCAGAUAAUAACAGACUCCUUGCUGGGAGUGGCAGUGUUCAAACAGCCACAGAAAUGGCAUCAUUGCAGCUGUCUGUCAUCAGGGGCUUUACUUAUGACACCAGUAGUAGUUAAAGAGAAAACAACUGUCAUGUUUUCACAUUUUUCUAAUAUAAUGAUCUAGAUGAGCAGUCUAAUGUUGAAUUUCAGAUCAUAUCUUCAAUAUCCAUAUAUCUUUAUUUUUAAAGAAGCUAGAUUAAACAGUACAAAUAUGAACAAAAUUUGUGUAGAAUCCUAGUUUUUUAACAGUUUAUUUCUUCUAUUAUAUUACACGCUUGACUCCAUCAUAUACCUGUGAAUUCUCAAAAUG